This 65-nucleotide transfer RNA is filed under the name Brachionus rotundiformis. Its description in RNAcentral is "tRNA-Pro". Lineage: Eukaryota; Metazoa; Rotifera; Eurotatoria; Ploima; Brachionidae. The record is from RNAcentral.
AGAGAUGUAGUAUAAUCAUUAUAUUUAGUUUGGGGCUAAAAGAUACUACGUUGUAGUCAUUUCUA